Numida meleagris (helmeted guineafowl) is the source of this 4809-nucleotide long non-coding RNA. RefSeq lists it as uncharacterized. The transcript is spliced from 2 exons. NCBI's taxonomy places the organism in Eukaryota, Metazoa, Chordata, Aves, Galliformes, Numididae. The record is from RefSeq and is a predicted model, not a curated record.
AGACAGCUCCAAAGAAGAUAGUGUUUCCCCUGGCAUUGUGACCAGUGUGAGAAGGUAGAUGCUAACCUUUUACUGUUUUAUUUCUGUAGUUACUUGAUUACAUACACAGAGAACUUCUAAUGGAAAUAUCAUCAUAUUUUUCUUUUGGCUUCAUGGAUUUUCCCAGACUUCAUCUACUCUUCACAAAUAGCACAAACAUCCGAUAUAAUCUUCAACUUUCAUUGUUUGUUUUUAAAAUACCUGUAGUGUCACGUAAGACUUAUCGCAUGAGUUGUUGGCUAUCGAUGAGGGAUCCUAACUCAGCAGCCUAGACAUGAUUCCAAUAGUCACUUCUGUUUAUUUUAUAUUUUCAAUCUCAUUUUUAACAUCUGCAGGUCUGCAGGAGGCUCUGGCAAAGCUUCUUCACCCCUAAGUACCACAUCAGAAAGUGUGACAUUAAAUCCUGUCAGUCAGAGGCCAAAGGUAUUGGUGGAUUGUGGCAUCCAGAGGGAACAGUCCGUAUUCUUUCAAUCAGUUCAGCUUUAGGAGAAGGAAGAAAAGGUAACUUUUUUUUUUGAAUUUGCUUUUAAACACACUUUUUAAAUUUAGAAAAUGUGGGAUUUAAAAGAGGACCUGUUCAAAUGUUCAUUGAAAAUCUCCAAUUUAUUUUUCCAAUGCUAACUUAAAGCAGAAUGCCCAUACUCUUGUAGUUUGAGAUAAGCUCGGAAGAAAUGGCACCAAGCUUGCAGAGGCAGGAAUGCCAAAGUUGGGAGGGACUUGAUAAACACAGUGCCUGUAUGUUAAUUCUGCUGCUUCUACUUCCUCCAAGUUAUCUGUUGCCAUACAUGCUCCAUAAUCAGGGCAAAGAUUCAGUUAUUAUCUUCCUAAUUCAUGUAGUCUGAAAUUUUCUUUUGGAAUAAGCAAUUGGAAUCAACCUUUCAAGUCAUCAUUAGUUUCCUUAAAUUGGAAACUUCAUCUAUUAACUUAUUUAUUUAUAAGCUGAGUUUCUUCGCUGCAUUCUGAUCUUUAACACACUCACUGAGGAGAGUAGAUUUUGCAUGGUAAGCAUCUUACUUCCUCACUUCCUUUUUUGCUGGCCUUUUGUGUUCCUCCUUUUUGUCAUAAAUAUCAUCAGAAGGACAUUUGGCAACAUUAAGCACAAAUGUAAAAGGCAGGUACAGAGAAGCACUGUAGCCUUUGCUUUUUCCUUGUCCUCCUCUUUUAAUAAACGUGCGAAAUAGGAGUAGGUUUCCCUUUGAAAAUGUGUCAAGAGAAAAGCAUGGGAAACGUUCCUAGGAAUAUUUUGAUUACAACAUUCUAAACGAAAAGCUUCAUUCCAAAAAGUAGUAUCAUUUUGGUUUUGGAAAUGGGAAGGCUAAGGGAUUUUAUUGAGUUUUCAAUCAGUUCCUCUUCCAUAGUCAUCAGUCUUUCUGUAGGCACACGAAAGAGCCAUGUUUUGCCUUGUUUGGCUUUUGUUUUGGUUUUGGAAUAUUAAAUAGCUGAUAAAUAGCUGAGGGCAAGGAGAAACUUUUGCCAAAGUUUGGUAUGUUUUUAUCUGUGACUAGUCUCUCUAAGAAUGCAAGACAACAAGGAGUUUCUCGUAUGUAAUAAGAGAACUCUCUCACAUGCACUUUUAGAGAUGCCCCUUUUGUGAGCUGAAGUGCAGCGUUAGGCUAUUCAGAUCAGCUGUGACAGAGUAGCUAUAGCAUAAGGUAUGAUGAUUAAAUUUUAAUAUCUACAUGUUACCAUACUGAGGGCUAUCAAAGUUAUUCGUCGGAGGUUUCUCCACACAUUUCUGCAGGCACAACUUAUUUUGUGCCUUUGAAUGAAAAUGCUGACAUAGUUGUCAAAACAGUCUGAGGAAUUCAAUGCAGCAGCACCAUUCCUGUCUUCCUAAGCAUAGACCAUGCAGAACCCUUUUUGAACCCUGUAGGCUACCAGCAAAACUGUUCAGGCUUGUACAUUGAGCCUGCCACAGAGGUAAAGCUACGCCUCCGGUGACGCAGAUGGAUAGAUGAAGUUUAAAAAACAGAUCUACUGGAUGGAAAACUGUUUGUCUUAAUGCAUCCAUGUAACAGUUAUCCUGAACGGGUGCAGUCAGUGCUGCACUAGGCAAAUUCAAGUGUGGCUACUCAUUCUGAGGGGCCAUUCUGGGUCUGCAAAAUCCUAAAUCUUUAAUGAGAAAGCUAUUCCAGAUACAGCGAAAUAUGAUGCUUGUUUAGCAUUUGACAUAGUGUUAUCUAAAGAACCUGUGAGAUUUCCAGAUACUUUUUUUUUUUCAGCUGGAAAAAUUGAGGCACAGCGUAAGCUGUGGAAAAUUCUGUGUUUUCCAGUCCUCUCACAGUGCUACCUCACCUUUGGGCUGGGCUUAGAGGUACCUUGCCCCAGCGCUGUGACAGCUGUGCUCUAAGCAGGUGCAAGACUUCGAGGUCAUGAGCCACCUGUGCUCUUCCAUAGCACAAAAUGUGAUCAAGGAAAGCCUUCUUUUGUAGCAUUUGAAUGCAAGGAUGCUAGUGGUUGUGGGGGGCUUUGUACAAUGUGGUCUCAGAAUAUAACAUCAUUCUAAUUACAGGCAGAUAGAUGCGUUAGUAUGUAUAGUUUUUUGUAUUUCAGUUCUUAGACAUUUAAGUAAGUACAUUGCCUGGGGAGCAUUCCUUCAUAAUGCAGAAAACACAAGUGAUUCACUUCAUAGCUACUACUUCUCUAGUUAGAGGAGCAAGAAGGCACGAGGCAGGUGCGGAAAGGCAGCACAGAGGAAGAGUGUGUGACUGCAGGUGUAACUUGCAGCACCUCCACUAGCUGCAGCGGAGAGAAGUGCACUUCCAGCACAGGGUGGGGAAGAGCUGAAGGGUGCAGCUGCCAGGCUUGGGCCUCCUCCCCUCCUUGAGGCUGUGCAGUACAGUUACUUCACAAUUAAUAGCAAUUAGUCACAAGCUUCAGCCCCGCCCUGUCUUGAGAACUGCUGGGUACAAGAUGGCACCAAAGAGGAAAAGGGAAAGUGCCUCUUUUCAGGGCAACAAGGUUGCCAGCUCACGUUAUCAAGUAUUGUCUCAGAAGAAGCUUGGAAAGAAAAACAAAAAGCUUUGUUUCUUACAAAGCCUAUUUUUGCUUCCUCUAUAGUCCCCUGCACAGCACUUUGGAUGAGUGUCCGAAGUAGGAAUGAUGAGUGGGGUGCUUAGGAAGAGCCAUCACAAAGUAGAGAAGUGAUCCCGAAAUUCUUGCUGGGAUACCUGAGUGAAAGCCUUUAUACUCACAUUUAUGCUCACCUUCUUUUUCUUACGUAUAUGUACUUAUUUUUUAAAAUGCAGCAGAAGGUCUAAAUAGCAACAUAGGGAGAAAAAGAGAGUUUGGGAUGCAUCUGGCCAAUACAAUUAUGCUUUCUGGCCAAAAGCUAAACAGGAGUGGGUGCAGAGUCUCAGCAACAGAAAACAGAAGAGAGCUGAGCAAGUGAAGCAAGUAAAGGAGCUUUUACCCCCAUAAAUAGCUAUAUCCCCAUUUAAUAGUCUCCAGUGUAUGUAACAUCUGUGUCCCCCAUGGGCAGUGAAGGAAAAGGAGAAUGGUUCCGUUGUCUUCUUAGUGUGAGCAUUGUCUUAUCAAUUGUCUUUACCUUAUAGGAACUUACAAUCACUGAGAUCACAUUCCACAUCUCAAAUAUGGCUUCAGGGGAGGUUAAAAAGCCACUGGCAAGACCUUGAGAGGUCACAGAGAACUUGCUUCCUUAGAAAACCUGACUUGAAAAAAAUCCAGUUUCAUCUUUCUUUCCAAAAAUAUAGGCAGGACUUGGGAAAGAUGAAAAAGAAUAUAAAUAGCAGACAGAAAGUUCGAAGCGGCAGCAGGUGAUUGGCUGCAGGGAGGGGAGUGCAGGAAUGCCUGCUCAAGGACAAGCUCAAGCACAGCCAACAUGGCUGGGGGCUUUAGCUGCAGCUGCCUUUGUCUUUACAGAGUUGCCGCCCUUCGAAGAGAACACUGCCUGACCACCCUGAACUCUCUUGCAAAUCAGGAAGAUGAGAGAUCAGGCUUUCUCUAUUUGCUGCAUUUCUGUUUCAGGCAUUCAGAGAUCUUUGCCCCCAUCUGCUUCCGGUUUGCACUUUCAGGGUCCAGCCAAGCAGCUGCAUGUGAAGUUGGUGUCUCUUUGACAGGUGUUGCCUGCCAUGUGUGCAGUUUGCGUAUGUGUGAAGGGAGCUGCUUGAUUGUGAAUGUGUUUCUCAGAAGAGCAAGUACACCCAGAAUUGCCCUGGAGAAAGCCUGUGGGAGAUCCUAGGGCAGAUGGCCUCCCUUCUCUACCCCAGUCGGAGACCCGAGCAGGGGAUCAGUGUAAGCAUCCUGCUGCAGCUGUCACAUUCCCUGUGCCUCAGCUUAGAGAAAUUCUGUCAUGUGAGAUUUGGCAUGGGACAGUGUGCUCCUCUGCCUUCCAGGCCCAGCACAGGCAAAAGUCAAGCAGCACUUCCUUUUCGGAAGGCAGAUUUUGCCAUUUGAGAGACCGGUCCCACUCCUCCAUUGCUGGUGGAAGUCACCACUGUCACUGAGAGAUGUGAGAAAUGGGGGUGUAAAGCCCCACGGUACACUCAGCAGCUCUCCCGUGCCAGUGCUGUCUGUUGCUAAGGAGCUCCAGAAAGCAGGAGAGUGCGGCUGUGGAACCGGAGGGCUCCAGGUAGCAGGGAUGCUGACAUCUGGGGAUGCAGGGAGGGGCAGGCAGCAGGCGUCCUCCCUGGCGUGCUGUCCCCGUGCGUGCACCGUACCUUCAGCAGGAAGGUCUGCAUGGGCUCCUUCCACACGUCAAAGGUGAAUGACCCAAGGGGAACCUCCUUGUCUCCGUCCAUAUCCAGUCCC